GUCUGGUGCCAGCAGCCGCGGUAAUUCCAGCUCCAAUAGCGUAUAUUAAACUUGUUGCAGUUAAAAAGCUCGUAGUUGUAUUUUUGCGUUGACGGUUUGACCAUUUGGUURGUUAUUUCGUUUUCGCUUUUGGGAAUUUCCCUUUUUACUUUGAGAAAAUUAGAGUGUUUCA
This 172-nucleotide ribosomal RNA is filed under the name Babesia canis. RNAcentral describes it as "partial small subunit ribosomal RNA". The record is from RNAcentral. Lineage: Eukaryota; Apicomplexa; Aconoidasida; Piroplasmida; Babesiidae.